AGUGAACGCUGGCGGUAGGCCUAACACAUGCAAGUCGAACGGCAGCACAGAGGAGCUUGCUCCUUGGGUGGCGAGUGGCGGACGGGUGAGGAAUACAUCGGAAUCUACUCUGUCGUGGGGGAUAACGUAGGGAAACUUACGCUAAUACCGCAUACGACCUACGGGUGAAAGCAGGGGACCUUCGGGCCUGACGCGAUUGAAUGAGCCGAUGUCGGAUUAGCUAGUUGGCGGGGUAAAGGCCCACCAAGGCGACGAUCCGUCGCUGGUCUGAGAGGAUGAUCAGCCACAAUGGAACUGAGACACGGUCCAGACUCCUACGGGAGGCAGCAGUGGGGAAUAUUGGACAAUGGGCGCAAGCCUGAUCCAGCCAUACCGCGUGGGUGAAGAAGGCCUUCGGGUUGUAAAGCCCUUUUGUUGGGAAAGAAAUCCAGCUGGCUAAUACCCGGUUGGGAUGACGGUACCCAAAGAAUAAGCACCGGCUAACUUCGUGCCAGCCGCCGCAGUAA
RNAcentral lists this ribosomal RNA (506 nucleotides) under uncultured bacterium. Its description in RNAcentral is "partial 16S ribosomal RNA". It matches the Rfam family "Bacterial small subunit ribosomal RNA", at positions 29 to 523 of the family's 1533-position model. The record is from RNAcentral.